RNAcentral lists this ribosomal RNA (309 nucleotides) under Triticum aestivum (bread wheat). Its description in RNAcentral is "partial small subunit ribosomal RNA". Lineage: Eukaryota; Viridiplantae; Streptophyta; Magnoliopsida; Poales; Poaceae. The record is from RNAcentral.
AUGUGCAGUUGUUUCGUUGCUAUGAGGGUCUGGUGUUCGACGACUUCCCCAUGCGUUCAUCCUAAUGAGACAUUGCAAAUGAUCUUUAAUUUGGUGCAACAUAACUCCCGACAAGCAUCGACGUCUGCCAUUAUCGCGAGCAAGACCCUGAUCCUCCUUCGUCGGCCACUACCGCGAGCAAGAACCUUGAUCCUUCACCUACGGGUUGACGAUUUGCUUCAGAUCACGGAAGCUUGGGUUGAUGGAGUGCUUGUCUUUAGUUUUUGUUUUGACUUUGUGAAACUUGCUACCUGUGAUGAAACUGUGUAA